CUCUUUUCUUCUUAAAUGUGA
Molecule: non-coding RNA, 21 nt
Filed under: Arabidopsis thaliana (thale cress)
Lineage: Eukaryota; Viridiplantae; Streptophyta; Magnoliopsida; Brassicales; Brassicaceae
Source: RNAcentral